UACGGGGGGGGCAAGCGUUGUUCGGAAUUACUGGGCGUAAAGGGCUCGUAGGCGGCCAACUAAGUCAGACGUGAAAUCCCUCGGCUUAACCGGGGAACUGCGUCUGAUACUGGAUGGCUAGAGGUUGGGAGAGGGAUGCGGAAUUCCAGGUGUAGCGGUGAAAUGCGUAGAUAUCUGGAGGAACACCUGUGGCGAAAGCGGCGCACUGGACCACAUCUGACGCUGAGGCGCGAAAGCUAGGGGAGCAAACAGG
RNAcentral lists this ribosomal RNA (253 nucleotides) under uncultured bacterium. RNAcentral's name for it is "partial 16S ribosomal RNA". It matches the Rfam family "Bacterial small subunit ribosomal RNA", at positions 524 to 776 of the family's 1533-position model. The record is from RNAcentral.